UCAGGAUGAACGCUAGCUACAGGCUUAACACAUGCAAGGUCGAGGGCGAGCAGGACGAUAGCUUGCUAUUGUUGCUGGCGACCGGGCGCACGGGUGAGUAACGCGUAUCCAACUUCCCCUUAGUAGGGCAUAGCCCGGUGAAAAUCGGAUUAAUACCCUAUGUUGUGUCAUGAGGACAUCUGAAUAACACUAAAGAUUUAUCGCUAAGGGAUGGGGAUGCGUCCGAUUAGGUAGUCGGCGGGGUAACGGCCCACCGAGCCCUCGAUCGGUAGGGGUUCUGAGAGGAAGGUCCCCCACACUGGUACUGAGACACGGACCAGACUCCUACGGGAGGCAGCAGUGAGGAAUAUUGGUCAAUGGGCGUAAGCCUGAACCAGCCAAGUAGCCGUGCAGGAUGACGGCCCUAUGGGUUGUAAACUGCUUUUAUACGGGGAUAAAGUGAGGGACGUGUCCCUUAUUGUAGGUACCGUAUGAAUAAGGACCGGCUAAUUCCGUGCCAGCAGCUGC
Molecule: ribosomal RNA, 507 nt
Filed under: uncultured bacterium
Lineage: Bacteria
Description: bacterial SSU rRNA
Rfam family: Bacterial small subunit ribosomal RNA
Source: RNAcentral